AUUGAACGCUGGCGGCAUGCUUUACACAUGCAAGUCGAACGGUAACAGGCCUUCGGGUGCUGACGAGUGGCGAACGGGUGAGUAAUGCAUCGGAACGUGCCCAGAGGUGGGGGAUAACGCAGCGAAAGCUGUGCUAAUACCGCAUGUGAUCUGAGGAUGAAAGCGGGGGACCAGGCAGCAAUGUUUGGCCUCGCGCCUUUGGAGCGGCCGAUGUCAGAUUAGGUAGUUGGUGGGGUAAAGGCCUACCAAGCCGACGAUCUGUAGCUGGUCUGAGAGGACGACCAACCACACUGGGACUGAGACACGGCCCAGACUCCUACGGGAGGCAGCAGUGGGGAAUUUUGGACAAUGGGCGCAAGCCUGAUCCAGCAAUGCCGCGUGCGGGAAGAAGGCCUUCGGGUUGUAAACCGCUUUUGUACGGAACGAAAAGGCUCUGGCUAAUACCUGGGGCUGAUGACGGUACCGUAAGAAUAAGCACCGGCUAACUACGUG
RNAcentral lists this ribosomal RNA (492 nucleotides) under uncultured bacterium. RNAcentral's name for it is "partial 16S ribosomal RNA". It matches the Rfam family "Bacterial small subunit ribosomal RNA", at positions 30 to 507 of the family's 1533-position model. The record is from RNAcentral.